This 63-nucleotide transfer RNA is filed under the name Tanystylum orbiculare. RNAcentral describes it as "tRNA-Thr". It matches the Rfam family "tRNA". Rfam says of the family: Transfer RNA (tRNA) molecules are approximately 80 nucleotides in length. The record is from RNAcentral. Lineage: Eukaryota; Metazoa; Arthropoda; Pycnogonida; Pantopoda; Tanystylidae.
GCUUUAAUAGUUUAAAAUAAAAUAAUAUCUUUGUAAGUUAUUGAUGUGGUGUCACUUAAAGCU